Oreochromis niloticus (Nile tilapia) is the source of this 878-nucleotide long non-coding RNA. RefSeq lists it as uncharacterized. The record is from RefSeq and is a predicted model, not a curated record. Lineage: Eukaryota; Metazoa; Chordata; Actinopteri; Cichliformes; Cichlidae. The transcript has 2 exons.
GUACAGCUGUGACGUCUGUGGAAAAACUUUCAGCCGGAUAGGGAGCCGAAAUACACACCUACGCAUUCACACCGGACAUGAUGUGUACAGCUGUGAUCAGUGUGGUAAACAGUUUACUACAAACACAGAGUUACGACGUCACAUGUUUACCCACACUGAGGAACGACCUUAUAAAUGUGACCUGUGUGAGAAGACUUUUAAAUCUCCACGUUACCUGAGACGACACCAACAGAUCCACACCAGAAAGACUCUACAAGUGCAGUUACUGUGAGAAGCAGAGCGACACAGAUGGAUCAAGUUCUCAACCCUGUCAUCGCUGUGGGAAAGACUUUUGUUGUGACCUUUGUGGAAAAACUUUAAGUCAUUGAAGGACUCUGAAAAUACAUCAACGUAGACACACUGGAGACAAAAUGAACUACUGUAAAGAAUGCGGGAGAGGCUUCACCACUUCAAAGGACUUCAAACAAUAUGAACUCCUUCACAGUGGCGUUAAAAAGCAUGUCUGCGAUCAGUGUGGGUCAUCCUUCAUCAGUGCACAUCAGCUUGAAAAGCAUAAACGAGUCCACACAUGAGAGAAACCAUACAAGUGCAGACACUGUGACAAAACCUUUUCACAAUCAUGUGAUCAUACUAAGCAUGAACGCAGACACAUGAAAGAGAACUUCAUCUGUGAAAGAGUUUGAGUAAUCUCAGUUCAUACUCCACUCAGAAACGAUUCCAUGUUACAAAUAAACUGUUACGUCUUGAUUCCUGCUUUUACGUUAAUCUUGUAAACAGUACAUUUGCAUAACGACUGAAACCGGCCCAAUGAAUGAACAAUGGGCUGUGAGGUCAAUUUCUUCAUCAUUAAUAUGCAAAUUCUUAUGAGCAUUGAUCAA